UACGUAGGGUGCAGGCGUUAAUCGGAAUUACUGGGCGUAAAGCGUGCGCAGGCGGUCUUUUAAGUCAGAUGUGAAAGCCCCGGGCUUAACCUGGGAACGGCGUUUGAAACUGAGAGGCUAGAGUGUGGCAGAGGGGGGUGGAAUUCCACGUGUAGCAGUGAAAUGCGUAGAGAUGUGGAGGAACACCGAUGGCGAAGGCAGCCCCUGGGCUAACACUGACGCUCAGGCACGAAAGCGU
Molecule: ribosomal RNA, 238 nt
Filed under: uncultured bacterium
Lineage: Bacteria
Description: partial 16S ribosomal RNA
Rfam family: Bacterial small subunit ribosomal RNA
Source: RNAcentral